AACGAACGCUGGCGGCAUGCCUAACACAUGCAAGUCGAACGAGACCUUCGGGUCUAGUGGCGCACGGGUGCGUAACGCGUGGGAAUCUGCCCUUGGGUUCGGAAUAACAGUUGGAAACGACUGCUAAUACCGGAUAAUGACGUAAGUCCAAAGAUUUAUCGCCCAAGGAUGAGCCCGCGUAGGAUUAGCUAGUUGGUGAGGUAAAGGCUCACCAAGGCGACGAUCCUUAGCUGGUCUGAGAGGAUGAUCAGCCACACUGGGACUGAGACACGGCCCAGACUCCUACGGGAGGCAGCAGUGGGGAAUAUUGGACAAUGGGCGAAAGCCUGAUCCAGCAAUGCCGCGUGAGUGAUGAAGGCCUUAGGGUUGUAAAGCUCUUUUACCCGGGAUGAUAAUGACAGUACCGGGAGAAUAAGCUCCGGCUAACUCCGUG
This 433-nucleotide ribosomal RNA is filed under the name uncultured bacterium. RNAcentral describes it as "partial 16S ribosomal RNA". It matches the Rfam family "Bacterial small subunit ribosomal RNA", at positions 29 to 507 of the family's 1533-position model. The record is from RNAcentral.